Molecule: ribosomal RNA, 497 nt
Filed under: uncultured bacterium
Lineage: Bacteria
Description: partial 16S ribosomal RNA
Rfam family: Bacterial small subunit ribosomal RNA
Source: RNAcentral
GAUGAACGCUGGCGGCGUGCCUAAUACAUGCAAGUCGAGCGAACAGAUGAGGAGCUUGCUCCUCUGACGUUAGCGGCGGACGGGUGAGUAACACGUGGAUAACCUACCUAUAAGACUGGGAUAACUUCGGGAAACCGGAGCUAAUACCGGAUAAUAUAUUGAACCGCAUGGUUCAAUAGUGAAAGACGGUUUUGCUGUCACUUAUAGAUGGAUCCGCGCCGCAUUAGCUAGUUGGUAAGGUAACGGCUUACCAAGGCAACGAUGCGUAGCCGACCUGAGAGGGUGAGCGGCCACACUGGAACUGGGACACGGUCCAGACUCCUACGGGAGGCAGCAGUAGGGAAUCUUCCGCAAUGGGCGAAAGCCUGACGGAGCAACGCCGCGUGAGUGAUGAAGGUCUUCGGAUCGUAAAACUCUGUUAUUAGGGAAGAACAAAUGUGUAAGUAACUAUGCACGUCUUGACGGUACCUAAUCAGAAAGCCACGGCUAACUACGUG